RNAcentral lists this long non-coding RNA (1862 nucleotides) under Marmota monax (woodchuck). Lineage: Eukaryota; Metazoa; Chordata; Mammalia; Rodentia; Sciuridae. The record is from RNAcentral.
GAGGUGAUUCUAUGUCCUAAGCGUAUCAUAUUGGGGGCUGAAUGAUGUCCACUUGUUCUGUAACUGAUGAUGCUUAUUUUUUAUUCUUUUUAAUACAUGACAGUAGAGUAUAUAUUGACAUAUUAUACAUCCAGGGGGUACAACUUACUCUAAUUAGGGUCCCAUUCUUGUGGUUGUACCUGAUAUGGAGUUUCACUGGUGGUUGAUAAUGUUUAUUUAUACAAACAGUACAGGAGGACACCAGCCCAGGUGGACAGUAGCCCAAGGGACACCAUACACCUUUACUCUGGAUCCUUACUGGGGGCCUGGGUCCUGUUGGAAGUCUGAAGAGGAGCUGCAGCUGCAACCUGGGACUGAGUCUUGGUUUGAGCCUUUGCUUUGACCUUUGCCUGGCAGAUCCUGAGACUUUAGCAACGUGGGCACAAACACACUUCCCAAGCUUGGGUAGGAGAGUUGAUGGUGCUUGCAGCUGGCACCCUUGUCCCCAUUGGGCUAAGGGCCCCAUAGCCUCGGCACAUGCUCUCAUAGCCUUGGUCUUGCUUGCCUGCCUCUGCUUUCGGCCCUUCUUGUAUUUCUUGGCUAAAUGCAUGUUCCUCAGGAACUUGGGCUCUACCCUCUUCAGAAACUCUUAACUUUGUAAUUGGGUUUUUGACACCAUUUCUGUACCAUUUUCAGGACUGGUUGUAUUUGGUUGGUUUUUGGACUUGGCCACCAUAACCCACAGCUCCUGAAGUACCUGGGAGGGUAUCCCAUAUGCUUUAGCAGCCACUCCCUAUCCUCCAGCCCUGACAACCAUUAACCAAUUUUUUGUUUCUGUGGAUUUGCCUAUUCUGGAUAUUUUGUGAAAAUGGAAUCAUGUAAUGUGUGAACUCUCAAGUCUGGCUUCUUUCUCUUGGCAAAGUUCAUCCAUAUUUUAGUACAUAUCAGUACUUCGCUUUUUUUGCCAAAUAAUAUUUCAUUUGUUAUGGUUAAUUUUAUGAGUAAACAGAGAUGCUAUUUUACACCUACUAUAAUGAGAAGCAUUUAAAAACUUGACAUCAAGAGUUGGUGAGGAGGGGCUGGGGUUGUGGCUCAGCGGUAAGCAUUCGCCUAGUACUUGCGAGGCCCUGGGUUCGAUCCUCAGCACCACAUAAAAAAAAAAUCAAUAAAUAAAAUAAAGGUAUAAAAAAUUAAGAAUCCUUUAAAAAAAGAGUUGGGGGGAGGUGGAAAAGAAGGAAUUCUCAUACACUGCAAUUGUCAGUGUAAAUUAGAAUAACCACAUCAGACUUGGGCCCAUGCCUAUAAUCCCAGCUACUGGGAGAUUAUGGCUGGAGCAUUGCAAAUGUGAGGUCAGCCUUAGCAAUUUAGUCAGGCUCUGUCUCAAAAUAAAAAAUAAAAAUGGCUGGGGCUGUAGUUCAGUGGUAGAGCACUUGCCUACACACCUGGGUUUGAUUCCUGGGCUUGAUCCUUACCAAGUAUCCAUUUGGAAAAAAAAAAAAUGGUAGGGUUUAUUCCCUACCAACAAGCAGAGGAACAAAAAGAAAAACCACAUCAGAAAACUGGCAUUACCUUACAAAGUUGAUGCAAUACCCAAAUGUUCAUCAACAGAGUAAUAUACCCUCUGUAAAAGUAAGUCAUACACACAGAGAUACUUUUUAUUUGUAUAAAUCAUACCACUUGUAUAAAAUUCAAAAUAUGAAAGGUAAAUAUGUUAUUAUAAAUAAAUGCAAUGAGCCAGGUGUGGUGGCACACACCUGUAAUUCCAGUGGCUCAGAAGGCUGAGGCGGGCAGAUUGCAAAUUUGAGACAAGCCUCAGCAACUCAGUAAGGCCCUUACUAAGCAACUUAGUGAGACCCUGUCUCAAAAUAAAAAAUAAAAAUGGG